GACGUAGGGUGCGAGCGUUGUCCGGAUUUAUUGGGCGUAAAGAGCUCGUAGGCGGCUCGUCGCGUCGACCGUGAAAACCCGCGGCUUAACUGCGGGCUUGCGGUUGAUACGGGCGGGCUAGAGUUCGGUAGGGGAGACUGGAAUUCCUGGUGUAGCGGUGAAAUGCGCGGAUAUCAGGAGGAACACCGGUGGCGAAGGCGGGUCUCUGGGCAUUAACUGACGCUGAGGAGCGAAAGCAUGGGGAGCGAACAGG
RNAcentral lists this ribosomal RNA (253 nucleotides) under uncultured bacterium. RNAcentral describes it as "partial 16S ribosomal RNA". It matches the Rfam family "Bacterial small subunit ribosomal RNA", at positions 524 to 776 of the family's 1533-position model. The record is from RNAcentral.